GUGAGGAAUAUUGCGCAAUGGAGGCAACUCUGACGCAGCCAUGCCGCGUGCAGGAAGAAGGCGCUACGCGUUGUAAACUGCUUUUAACCGGGAAGAAACCCCAGGACGUGUCCUGGGUUGACGGUACCGGAGGAAUAAGCACCGGCUAACUUCGUGCCAGCAGCCGCGGUAAUUCGAAGGGUGCAAGCGUUAUCCGGAUUCAUUGGGUUUAAAGGGUGCGUAGGCGGAGCGUUAAGUCAGUGGUGAAAUCCUGCAGCUUAACUGUAGACUUGCCAUUGAUACUGGCGCUCUUGAGUGCGCUUGAAGUGGGCGGAAUGUGCCGUGUAGCGGUGAAAUGCUUAGAUAUGGCACAGAACACCAAUUGUGAAGGCAGCUCACUAAGGCGAUACUGACGCUGAGGCACGAAAGCGUGGGGAUCGAACAGGAUUAGAAACCCGGGUAGUCC
RNAcentral lists this ribosomal RNA (445 nucleotides) under uncultured bacterium. Its description in RNAcentral is "partial 16S ribosomal RNA". It matches the Rfam family "Bacterial small subunit ribosomal RNA", at positions 354 to 796 of the family's 1533-position model. The record is from RNAcentral.